GACGAACGCUGGCGGCGUGCUUAACACAUGCAAGUCACGGGGGCUCGCAAGGGCAACCGGCGAACGGGUGCGUAACACGUGAGCAACUUACCGAUUUGUGGGGGAUAGCCGGCCCAACGGCCGGGUAAUACCGCAUACGCUCUUUGGGUGGAGUCACCUGAAGAGGAAACCUCCGGGGCAAAUCGAGGGGCUCGCGGCCUAUCAGCUAGUUGGUNCGGGUAACGGCCCACCAAGGCGAUGACGGGUAGCGGUCUGAGAGGAUGGCCAGCCACAUUGGGACUGAGAAACGGCCAGACUCCUACGGGAGGCAGCAGUGGGAAUCUUGCGCAAUGCCGAAAGGCUGACGCAGCGACGCCGCGUAGUGGGAGGAAGC
RNAcentral lists this ribosomal RNA (373 nucleotides) under uncultured bacterium. RNAcentral's name for it is "bacterial SSU rRNA". It matches the Rfam family "Bacterial small subunit ribosomal RNA", at positions 28 to 414 of the family's 1533-position model. The record is from RNAcentral.